UCCCUGGUGGUUUAGUGGUUAGGACUCUGCCUUCCAAAGCAGGGACUCGGGUUCAAUUGCUGGUCGGGGAA
Molecule: transfer RNA, 71 nt
Filed under: Bos taurus (domestic cattle)
Lineage: Eukaryota; Metazoa; Chordata; Mammalia; Artiodactyla; Bovidae
Also listed under: 3 other names
Rfam family: tRNA
About the family: Transfer RNA (tRNA) molecules are approximately 80 nucleotides in length. Their secondary structure includes four short double-helical elements and three loops (D, anti-codon, and T loops).
Source: Rfam by way of RNAcentral